Molecule: transfer RNA, 78 nt
Filed under: Rhodothermaceae bacterium RA
Lineage: Bacteria; Pseudomonadati; Rhodothermota; Rhodothermia; Rhodothermales; Rhodothermaceae
Also listed under: 1 other name
Description: tRNA-Val
Rfam family: tRNA
About the family: Transfer RNA (tRNA) molecules are approximately 80 nucleotides in length. Their secondary structure includes four short double-helical elements and three loops (D, anti-codon, and T loops).
Source: RNAcentral
GGGCGGUUAGCUCAGCCGGUUCAGAGCACCUGCCUUACAAGCAGGGGGUCACUGGUUCGAAUCCAGUACCGCCCACCA